RNAcentral lists this ribosomal RNA (838 nucleotides) under Psychrobacter sp. ALG-16. Its description in RNAcentral is "bacterial SSU rRNA". It matches the Rfam family "Bacterial small subunit ribosomal RNA", at positions 107 to 943 of the family's 1533-position model. Lineage: Bacteria; Pseudomonadati; Pseudomonadota; Gammaproteobacteria; Moraxellales; Moraxellaceae. The record is from RNAcentral.
UGAGUAAUACUUAGGAAUCUACCUAGUAGUGGGGGAUAGCACGGGGAAACUCGUAUUAAUACCGCAUACGACCUACGGGAGAAAGGGGGCAGUUUACUGCUCUCGCUAUUAGAUGAGCCUAAGUCGGAUUAGCUAGAUGGUGGGGUAAAGGCCUACCAUGGCGACGAUCUGUAGCUGGUCUGAGAGGAUGAUCAGCCACACCGGGACUGAGACACGGCCCGGACUCCUACGGGAGGCAGCAGUGGGGAAUAUUGGACAAUGGGGGCAACCCUGAUCCAGCCAUGCCGCGUGUGUGAAGAAGGCCUUUUGGUUGUAAAGCACUUUAAGCAGUGAAGAAGACUCCAUGGUUAAUACCCAUGGACGAUGACAUUAGCUGCAGAAUAAGCACCGGCUAACUCUGUGCCAGCAGCCGCGGUAAUACAGAGGGUGCAAGCGUUAAUCGGAAUUACUGGGCGUAAAGGGAGCGUAGGUGGCUCGAUAAGUCAGAUGUGAAAUCCCCGGGCUCAACCUGGGAACUGCAUCUGAUACUGUUGAGCUAGAGUAUGUGAGAGGAAGGUAGAAUUCCAGGUGUAGCGGUGAAAUGCGUAGAGAUCUGGAGGAAUACCGAUGGCGAAGGCAGCCUUCUGGCAUAAUACUGACACUGAGGCUCGAAAGCGUGGGUAGCAAACAGGAUUAGAUACCCUGGUAGUCCACGCCGUAAACGAUGUCUACUAGUCGUUGGGUCCCUUGAGGACUUAGUGACGCAGCUAACGCAAUAAGUAGACCGCCUGGGGAGUACGGCCGCAAGGUUAAAACUCAAAUGAAUUGACGGGGGCCCGCACAAGCGGUGGAGCAUGUG